CAGUCGAGCGGCAGCGGGAGGUGCUUGCACCUCGCCGGCGAGCGGCGGACGGGUGAGUAAUGCAUAGGAAUCUGCCCGGUAGUGGGGGAUAACCUGGGGAAACUCAGGCUAAUACCGCAUACGUCCUACGGGAGAAAGCAGGGGAUCUUCGGACCUUGCGCUAUCGGAUGAGCCUAUGCCGGAUUAGCUAGUUGGUAGGGUAAUGGCCUACCAAGGCGACGAUCCGUAGCUGGUCUGAGAGGAUGAUCAGCCACACUGGGACUGAGACACGGCCCAGACUCCUACGGGAGGCAGCAGUGGGGAAUAUUGGACAAUGGGCGAAAGCCUGAUCCAGCCAUGCCGCGUGUGUGAAGAAGGCUUUCGGGUUGUAAAGCACUUUCAGUGGGGAAGAAAGCCUGUCGGCUAAUACCCGGCAGGAACGACAUCACCCACAGAAGAAGCACCGGCUAACUCCGUGCCAGCAGCCGCGGUAAUACGGAGGGUGCGAGCGUUAAUCGGAAUUACUGGGCGUAAAGCGCGCGUAGGCGGCGUGAUAAGCCGGUUGUGAAAGCCCCGGGCUCAACCUGGGAACGGCAUCCGGAACUGUCAGGCUAGAGUGCAGGAGAGGAAGGUAGAAUUCCCGGUGUAGCGGUGAAAUGCGUAGAGAUCGGGAGGAAUACCAGUGGCGAAGGCGGCCUUCUGGACUGACACUGACGCUGAGGUGCGAAAGCGUGGGUAGCAAACAGGAUUAGAUACCCUGGUAGUCCACGCCGUAAACGAUGUCGACUAGCCGUUGGGAGC
Molecule: ribosomal RNA, 780 nt
Filed under: uncultured bacterium
Lineage: Bacteria
Description: bacterial SSU rRNA
Rfam family: Bacterial small subunit ribosomal RNA
Source: RNAcentral